GUCGUUCACUGUGCCCUGCGUGGCCUCUGAAUAGAAAAGGACAGUGACAUGAUUUAACAGUAACGGACAGAACAUUAAUACAGGAUAUAAACCGGAUAGCAGUGAUAGCUAUAACAGGACUAUAGCAGGGCAAUGAACCUCGACGCUCGUCUUUGUUUACCUCGUAGUCUGUUGCGUGGUAUUUUCAUCUAUCUCUGUGUGUGCGUGUCAUCUAUAUACCAUGAUGCCGUUUAUCAACUUCAAUAUGGGGACCAACUUCCUUGGAAUACUCCUUGACACAAUUCCUCCAUUGGAUGAAGAGGGGGCCAUAGAUACACUGUCAAAGGAGACAGAGGAGGCAGAUAGAACGAGGGAGGAGGUCUGUAGAACCUGGGUACACCGUGGACUGUUCCCGAGUUCUCAUGAUGCAAUACUCAAUAUCAACACGACAACAUGCGCUUUGUGUGUGCUCUGCUGCCCCCUGGCAGACUCUAGCGGUACUACAGCCUACAGUGAUCUCUCUGCUCUUCCACCCGUAGAAAUAGAAGACAGGACACUAUAUUAUUAUGGUUACACCCACAGGCAAUAUCCCAUCUAUGGUUGCAUCACUCCCUGUCUUAGAGAGCACCUCACUGUCUUAGCAUACAUGCUUGUCAGACGUAACCACCGAUUGUGAUGUUGUCGGUGAAGUUGUGAAGUCGGUGUAAUCUGCUGCCGCUGGAACUCAACGACGCGCACCACAGUCAACCAGCGCUUACGUCACAAGGCGCAACAGAAUGCAUUGCACCAUGACUCUCUAGUGCCAGUAGUAGUAAAACUGUAGUUCCACACACUUCCUAUUCAGAGAGCUGCCUGCGUCAGUGAUGAUAACCAUUAGGGAAAGAUUCCACACGCACUGUUCAUCACCACACUAAGACAUGCUGUACUUGUUCUACAUAAUGUAUCCUCUGUCUUAGACAGGCAGUAGAUGAAAUAAAACCAACGGAAGAAUGUGCAUCAUAUGUUUCUUCAUCUCACAAAAGAAAUCGGAUCAAAUUCAGACUAUUCUUGAGACACAUUCCACUACUCUUUCUGUUUCUUCUAGUUUCUGAUUACGUUGCAUUAAGUAUACACGCGCACGCACGCACACACACACACACCAAUGUAGUUCCAUUUCAGCAGUUCAGUGCGCAGUCUCCUUGUAGAGAUCCUCCCCCUCAAUCCUGCCAGAACAAUCCUUUUUUCAAAAUGUUCUACUAGAAAUUAAACCACAGAUUGCAUCUUUA
This 1244-nucleotide long non-coding RNA is filed under the name Salmo salar (Atlantic salmon). Its description in RNAcentral is "lncRNA (ENSSSAG00000086431.1)". Lineage: Eukaryota; Metazoa; Chordata; Actinopteri; Salmoniformes; Salmonidae. The record is from RNAcentral.